Molecule: ribosomal RNA, 465 nt
Filed under: uncultured bacterium
Lineage: Bacteria
Description: partial 16S ribosomal RNA
Rfam family: Bacterial small subunit ribosomal RNA
Source: RNAcentral
GACGAACGCUGGCGGCGUGCUUAACACAUGCAAGUCGAACGGAAAGGCCCCUUUGGGGGUACUCGAGUGGCGAACGGGGGAGUAACACGUGAGUAACCUGCCCUUGACUUCGGGAUAACUUCAGGAAACUGGGGCCAAUACCGGAUAGGAAUCCUUGCUGCAAGGGGGGGGUUGGAAAGCUUCGGCGGUUUUGGAUGGACUCGCGGGUUAUCAGCUUGCUGGUGGGGUAGUGGCUUACCGAGGCGGGGACGGGUAGCCGGCCUGAGAGGGCGACCGGCCACCUUGGGACUGAGAUACGGCCCAGACUCCUACGGGAGGCAGCAGUGGGGAAUAUUGCACAAUGGGCGGAAGCCUGAUGCAGCAACGCCGCGUGCGGGAUGACGGCCUUCGGGUUGUAAACCGCUUUCAGCAGGGGCGAAGCUUGUGGUGACGGUACCUGCAGAAGAAGCACCGGCUAACUACGUG